RNAcentral lists this ribosomal RNA (1338 nucleotides) under Pasteurella multocida. Its description in RNAcentral is "partial 23S ribosomal RNA". It matches the Rfam family "Bacterial large subunit ribosomal RNA", at positions 1606 to 2925 of the family's 2925-position model. Lineage: Bacteria; Pseudomonadati; Pseudomonadota; Gammaproteobacteria; Pasteurellales; Pasteurellaceae. The record is from RNAcentral.
UUCCAGGAAAAGCCACUAAGCUUCAGGUUUAUCUAAACCGUACUGAAAACCGACACAGGUGGUCAGGUAGAGAAUACUCAGGCGCUUGAGAGAACUCGGGUGAAGGAACUAGGCAAAAUAGCACCGUAACUUCGGGAGAAGGUGCGCUUACAGUAAUUGUAGUCCCUCGCGGAUGAAGGUGAAGUAAGUCGAAGAUACCAGCUGGCUGCAACUGUUUAUUAAAAACACAGCACUCUGCAAACACGAAAGUGGACGUAUAGGGUGUGAUGCCUGCCCGGUGCUGGAAGGUUAAUUGAUGGUGUUAUCGAAAGAGAAGCUCCUGAUCGAAGCCCCAGUAAACGGCGGCCGUAACUAUAACGGUCCUAAGGUAGCGAAAUUCCUUGUCGGGUAAGUUCCGACCUGCACGAAUGGCAUAAUGAUGGCCAGGCUGUCUCCACCCGAGACUCAGUGAAAUUGAAAUCGCCGUGAAGAUGCGGUGUACCCGCGGCUAGACGGAAAGACCCCGUGAACCUUUACUAUAGCUUGACACUGAACAUUGAAUUUUGAUGUGUAGGAUAGGUGGGAGCCUUUGAAGCAGUGACGCCAGUCAUUGUGGAGGCGACCUUGAAAUACCACCCUUUAACGUUUGAUGUUCUAACGAAGUGCCUGAAACGGGUACUCGGACAGUGUCUGGUGGGUAGUUUGACUGGGGCGGUCUCCUCCCAAAGCGUAACGGAGGAGCACGAAGGUUUGCUAAUGACGGUCGGACAUCGUCAGGUUAGUGCAAUGGUAUAAGCAAGCUUAACUGCGAGACAGACAAGUCGAGCAGGUGCGAAAGCAGGUCAUAGUGAUCCGGUGGUUCUGAAUGGAAGGGCCAUCGCUCAACGGAUAAAAGGUACUCCGGGGAUAACAGGCUGAUACCGCCCAAGAGUUCAUAUCGACGGCGGUGUUUGGCACCUCGAUGUCGGCUCAUCACAUCCUGGGGCUGAAGUAGGUCCCAAGGGUAUGGCUGUUCGCCAUUUAAAGUGGUACGCGAGCUGGGUUUAGAACGUCGUGAGACAGUUCGGUCCCUAUCUGCCGUGGGCGUUGGAUGAUUGAUUGGGGCUGCUCCUAGUACGAGAGGACCGGAGUGGACGCAUCACUGGUGUUCCAGUUGUCUCGCCAGAGGCAUUGCUGGGUAGCUAAAUGCGGAAGAGAUAAGUGCUGAAAGCAUCUAAGCACGAAACUUGCCAAGAGAUGAGUCAUCCCUGACUUUAAGUCAGUAAGGGUUGUUGUAGACUACGACGUAGAUAGGUUGGGUGUGUAAGUGUAGUGAUACAUUGAGCUAACCAAUACUAAUUGCCCGAGAGGCUUAACCAU